AAUGAAUUGCCUGAUUAAAGGAUUACUUUGAUAGAGUAAAUUAUAUAAUUAAAUAUUAUAUUCAUUA
RNAcentral lists this transfer RNA (67 nucleotides) under Nycteribia allotopa. RNAcentral's name for it is "tRNA-Ile". The record is from RNAcentral. Lineage: Eukaryota; Metazoa; Arthropoda; Insecta; Diptera; Nycteribiidae.